GGUUAAGCGACUAAGCGUACACGGUGGAUGCCCUGGCAGUCAGAGGCGAUGAAGGACGUGCUAAUCUGCGAAAAGCGCCGGCGAGGUGAUAUGAACCUUUGACCCGGCGAUGUCCGAAUGGGGAAACCCAGUGCAAUUCGUUGCACUAUCGUUAACUGAAUACAUAGGUUAACGAGGCGAACCGGGGGAACUGAAACAUCUAAGUACCCCGAGGAAAAGAAAUCAACCGAGAUUCCCCCAGUAGCGGCGAGCGAACGGGGAGCAGCCCAGAGUCUGAAUCAGCUUGUGUGUUAGUGGAAGCGUCUGGAAAGUCGCACGGUACAGGGUGACAGUCCCGUACACGAAAAUGCACAGGUUGUGAACUCGAAGAGUAGGGCGGGACACGUGGUAUCCUGUCUGAAUAUGGGGGGACCAUCCUCCAAGGCUAAAUACUCCUGACUGACCGAUAGUGAACCAGUACCGUGAGGGAAAGGCGAAAAGAACCCCGGCGAGGGGAGUGAAAAAGAACCUGAAACCGUGUACGUACAAGCAGUGGGAGCACCUUCGUGGUGUGACUGCGUACCUUUUGUAUAAUGGGUCAGCGACUUAUAUUCUGUAGCAAGGUUAACCGUAUAGGGGAGCCGAAGGGAAACCGAGUCUUAACUGGGCGUUAAGUUGCAGGGUAUAGACCCGAAACCCGGUGAUCUAGCCAUGGGCAGGUUGAAGGUUGGGUAACACUAACUGGAGGACCGAACCGACUAAUGUUGAAAAAUUAGCGGAUGACUUGUGGCUGGGGGUGAAAGGCCAAUCAAACCGGGAGAUAGCUGGUUCUCCCCGAAAGCUAUUUAGGUAGCGCCUCGUGAACUCAUCUUCGGGGGUAGAGCACUGUUUCGGCUAGGGGGCCAUCCCGGCUUACCAACCCGAUGCAAACUACGAAUACCGAAGAAUGUUAUCACGGGAGACACACGGCGGGUGCUAACGUCCGUCGUGAAGAGGGAAACAACCCAGACCGCCAGCUAAGGUCCCAAAGUCAUGGUUAAGUGGGAAACGAUGUGGGAAGGCACAGACAGCCAGGAUGUUGGCUUAGAAGCAGCCAUCAUUUAAAGAAAGCGUAAUAGCUCACUGGUCGAGUCGGCCUGCGCGGAAGAUGUAACGGGGCUAAACCAUGCACCGAAGCUGCGGCAGCGACACUAUGUGUUGUUGGGUAGGGGAGCGUUCUGUAAGCCGUUGAAGGUGUGCUGUGAGGCAUGCUGGAGGUAUCAGAAGUGCGAAUGCUGACAUAAGUAACGAUAAAGCGGGUGAAAAGCCCGCUCGCCGGAAGACCAAGGGUUCCUGUCCAACGUUAAUCGGGGCAGGGUGAGUCGACCCCUAAGGCGAGGCCGAAAGGCGUAGUCGAUGGGAAACAGGUUAAUAUUCCUGUACUUGGUGUUACUGCGAAGGGGGGACGGAGAAGGCUAUGUUAGCCGGGCGACGGUUGUCCCGGUUUAAGCAUGUAGGCGGAACGAUUAGGUAAAUCCGGUCGUUUUUUAACGCUGAGGUGUGAUGACGAGGCACUACGGUGCUGAAGUAACAAAUGCCCUGCUUCCAGGAAAAGCCUCUAAGCAUCAGGUAACAUCAAAUCGUACCCCAAACCGACACAGGUGGUCAGGUAGAGAAUACCAAGGCGCUUGAGAGAACUCGGGUGAAGGAACUAGGCAAAAUGGUGCCGUAACUUCGGGAGAAGGCACGCUGAUAUGUAGGUGAAGCCCCUGCGGGUGGAGCUGAAAUCAGUCGAAGAUACCAGCUGGCUGCAACUGUUUAUUAAAAACACAGCACUGUGCAAACACGAAAGUGGACGUAUACGGUGUGACGCCUGCCCGGUGCCGGAAGGUUAAUUGAUGGGGUUAGCGGCAACGCGAAGCUCUUGAUCGAAGCCCCGGUAAACGGCGGCCGUAACUAUAACGGUCCUAAGGUAGCGAAAUUCCUUGUCGGGUAAGUUCCGACCUGCACGAAUGGCGUAAUGAUGGCCAGGCUGUCUCCACCCGAGACUCAGUGAAAUUGAACUCGCUGUGAAGAUGCAGUGUACCCGCGGCAAGACGGAAAGACCCCGUGAACCUUUACUAUAGCUUGACACUGAACACUGGUCCUUGAUGUGUAGGAUAGGUGGGAGGCUUUGAAGUGUGGACGCCAGUCUGCAUGGAGCCGUCCUUGAAAUACCACCCUUUAAUGGCUGGUGUUCUAACGUAGACCCGUAAUCCGGGUUGCGGACAGUGUCUGGUGGGUAGUUUGACUGGGGCGGUCUCCUCCCAAAGAGUAACGGAGGAGCACGAAGGUUAGCUAAUCCUGGUCGGACAUCAGGAGGUUAGUGCAAUGGCAUAAGCUAGCUUGACUGCGAGAGUGACGGCUCGAGCAGGUGCGAAAGCAGGUCAUAGUGAUCCGGUGGUUCUGAAUGGAAGGGCCAUCGCUCAACGGAUAAAAGGUACUCCGGGGAUAACAGGCUGAUACCGCCCAAGAGUUCAUAUCGACGGCGGUGUUUGGCACCUCGAUGUCGGCUCAUCACAUCCUGGGGCUGAAGUAGGUCCCAAGGGUAUGGCUGUUCGCCAUUUAAAGUGGUACGCGAGCUGGGUUUAGAACGUCGUGAGACAGUUCGGUCCCUAUCUGCCGUGGGCGCUGGAGAAUUGAGGGGGGCUGCUCCUAGUACGAGAGGACCGGAGUGGACGCAUCACUGGUGUUCGGGUUGUCAUGCCAAUGGCACUGCCCGGUAGCUAAAUGCGGAAAAGAUAAGUGCUGAAAGCAUCUAAGCACGAAACUUGCCCCGAGAUGAGUUCUCCCUGAGACUUUAAGUCUCCUGAAGGAACGUUGAAGACGACGACGUUGAUAGGUCGGGUGUGUAAGCGCAGCGAUGCGUUGAGCUAACCGAUACUAAUGAACCGUGAGGCUUAACCUU
Molecule: ribosomal RNA, 2905 nt
Filed under: Enterobacter roggenkampii
Lineage: Bacteria; Pseudomonadati; Pseudomonadota; Gammaproteobacteria; Enterobacterales; Enterobacteriaceae
Description: 23S ribosomal RNA
Rfam family: Bacterial large subunit ribosomal RNA
Source: RNAcentral